RNAcentral lists this ribosomal RNA (253 nucleotides) under uncultured bacterium. Its description in RNAcentral is "partial 16S ribosomal RNA". It matches the Rfam family "Bacterial small subunit ribosomal RNA", at positions 524 to 776 of the family's 1533-position model. The record is from RNAcentral.
UACGAGGGGUGCAAGCGUUGUUCGGAAUCACUGGGCGUAAAGGGAGCGUAGGCGGAACUCCAAGUCGGUCGUACAAUACCGGGGCUCAACCCCGGACCUGCGGUCGAUACUGGGGCUCUUGAGUUAUUUAGAGGCAGGCGGAAUUCCAGGUGUAGCGGUGGAAUGCGUAGAGAUCUGGAAGAACACCAAUGGCGAAGGCAGCCUGCUGGGAAUUAACUGACGCUGAGGCUCGAAAGCGCGGGUAGCAAACAGG